AGGACGAACGCUGGCGGCGUGCUUAACACAUGCAAGUCGAGCGAGGCUCCUCCUUCGGGAGGAUGCCCUAGCGGCGAACGGGUGAGUAACACGUGGGCAACCUGCCCCUAGCACUGGGAUAACCCCGGGAAACCGGGGCUAAUACCGGAUACGACUUCGGAAGGCAUCUUCUGAAGUGGAAAAGGUUACUGGCUAGGGAUGGGCCCGCGGCCUAUCAGCUUGUUGGUGGGGUAAUGGCCCACCAAGGCGACGACGGGUAGCCGGCCUGAGAGGGCGACCGGCCACACUGGGACUGAGACACGGCCCAGACUCCUACGGGAGGCAGCAGUGGGGAAUAUUGUACAAUGGGCGAAAGCCUGAUGCAGCGACGCCGCGUGAGGGAUGACGGCCUUCGGGUUGUAAACCUCUUUCAGCAGGGACGAAGCGAAAGUGACGGUACCUGCAGAGAAGCACCGGCCAACUACGUGCCAGCAGCCGC
Molecule: ribosomal RNA, 478 nt
Filed under: uncultured bacterium
Lineage: Bacteria
Description: SSU rRNA
Rfam family: Bacterial small subunit ribosomal RNA
Source: RNAcentral